RNAcentral lists this unclassified non-coding RNA (1424 nucleotides) under Hevea brasiliensis (rubber tree). The record is from RNAcentral. Lineage: Eukaryota; Viridiplantae; Streptophyta; Magnoliopsida; Malpighiales; Euphorbiaceae.
UUUAGGUAAAUACAUAAAUAAUUAAAAAAUAAUAUCAAAGAAAGUUUUAGACUUCAUUAAUAUUUGUCUACAUGCAAUCUCCUUCAACCAGUCCCGUCUAUUGAUUGGUCUAUAUGUAAUCUGUCUCAUCUCCCAAUAUGCAUGCUGUACAUGUUUGUCUUUGUGGAUAAAUUAAUUAUUUGAUUGGUAAUGGUUUUUGGGUAAACUGACCAAAAGAUCAUAAAAUGUUUUGAGUAGUACAUCCUCAAGCAGCAGACUUGGAAAGAAACAUCAUAGAAUGUUUGAAUAAUUCUUCUCACACAAUAUACUCUUGGACUGAUCUCAUGUGUUGACAUGUUGCAGGACCAUUGAUCUUGAAAAGCUCUUUAUAAUUCAAAAUGCUUAUGUUAACCCUAUUUUAGUGGUCCAGACUCCAGACAGUUGAAUUUAGAUUUCCGUUUCAUUUUGUGUCAGAGUAGUCAUUAUUCUUUUAAUAAUUAUUUUUUUCAUUUGUGUGUUGAAUUUUUUCCAUUCUGGUGGAAGGAGCACCACAUGUAUAUAGGUUGCUCAAUUUUGCAUCUAGCAUGUUUCCAUUUGUCUGUUAACUCUAAUCAAUUUGGUAUGUAUGUUCACUAUUGGUGGUCAAGCAUGGCUUAGAGUUGUAGGUAUCUACACAUCUCCUGAUUUGAUGACUUGUAAUUUUAAUGCAGAUGCCUCAAAAUCUGGUGUUGCUCAAGAGACGAUUCAAAACACAAUCCGUAGAGGAAGCAAAAUCAUGACAGAGCAAGAAGCCCGGCAGAUUCUUGGUGUGACCGAGGAAACUGCAUGGGAGGAGAUAGUGAAGAAAUAUGAGACGCUAUUUGAGAGGAAUGCCAAAAAUGGAAGCUUUUACAUUCAGUCAAAAGUUCACAGGGCUAAAGAAUGUUUAGAGGCUAUGCAUCGAGGCAAAGGCGAGGGUACCGCUAGUUGAGAAUUUUGUGGAGAUCUUCCUUUGCACAUAGAUGUCCUGAAAAAUUACAAAUUGCAUACACAAGUUUGUUUCCUAUCUUCUGAGUUCAAAUAUUAGCCGAAAACUUGAGGUUAUUAAUGGAAGUUUAAAAUUACUAGUUGCAAAAUGAUCCAAAACCAUGUAUGCUACCCAAGCCAUCAGUAUUUGCUAUGAUUUUAUCAAUGAUCAAACUGUGGAUGGGAAGUCAUUAGUCUAACCAUUCUAUUAAAAGGAAUUAGGCUUAUCAAUGUGUCCUCAUUUCUUUUGAACAGAUGUAUUUAGUAAAUCUGUCUUUGUGAAGAAGGUGGUUGAUAUUGGUAUACAGCUCCCCUCGGGAUUCUUUUAGGGCAGAAAGGAAACUUUAUGAGAGUGGCUUUGCUUUUGCAUGCACUCAUCUUUUCCUUCUUUUUGUAAACCUGUUGUCAUCAUUUCAUGAUUUAAGCAUGUUUUCAGCACA